This is a long non-coding RNA of Macrobrachium nipponense, 1546 nucleotides long. RefSeq lists it as uncharacterized. The transcript has 3 exons. Lineage: Eukaryota; Metazoa; Arthropoda; Malacostraca; Decapoda; Palaemonidae. The record is from RefSeq and is a predicted model, not a curated record.
CGACAUCAGAAGAUUCCUACAAUCGAGAAGAAGCGUCUGGACAUUAUUCCUCUUCUCCACUAAGGUUCUUCCCAGUUGCUCAUCGAACAUAAUGAGGUUCCUUCAAGUAAGCCUCGUGGCUCUGCUUUCCCUUGUCCUACUGGAAGAAGAUGUUGCUGGAGGUGCAAUCACAGCUCGCCUCAAACAUCAAUCUGGCGCUGGGGAGCCGUUACUAAGGCCAAGCUCCGACCCGCCACCCCUACCAGGACCUGAACCUGAUCAAAUAUCAAUCGUUCCCGAAGCGGCCUUCAAUGAAGGGUCCCACGGCUGCAUAGGCGUUUGUCAGCUUAGGGACAACUUCGACUCCUGCCUGCCAGAUUCAAAGUGUUGUGAGGAGAAGUUCAAAGAUAGCGAGUACUUGGACUGCGUGAGAGGCAACAAAUAAUGCAAAGCAAUCCAUUUGCUGUUGUCUCUGGUUCUGUUCAAGAGAGAUCAGCUGGUAGUGUUGUACCUUACUUUCUUACUUAAUCUGUCACUUUUUGUUAGGGUUGGCCAAUAUGACCAACUACCAUUGCACUAUAGGCUACUAAGGUACCAUGUUGCCUUCUCGUGACUUCCUUUUUGACACAUGACAAGACUAAGGCCACUUUCAACUUCCCUCUCUCAUCCAGAAUUGGUAAUGUUUAAGUGUGUAGUCUAUACUUUUUUUUUUUAUCUGUCCAUCCGUCUGUGGUGGUUGCGCAUGGUAACACUGCGUCCCGGUCUUUAAAUAGUUACGAUAUGUCUAAGUUUUAGUAAUAAAAGGAUACCUGGGUGUACAUUUGCAACUGAAAAGUGUUUUAAUAAUUUACUGUAUGCGAAUUACACCGGUAACAUUCGAAAUACAAUAUUAUUUAAAGCCCGGGACGCAGUGUUACCAUGUGCAAACACCACAGGCGGAUGGACAAAUGGAAAAAACAGUAUACAUACUAAGGCAAAAUCCUACAACAUCGUACACAAAGGUUAAUGCUGGGAAGGUGAUUUAGUCUCUUAUAAAGAAAACCCCAGUUUCAAAUAUAGAGUCAUAAUAACUGGCAACCCAUCAUAACCUUUGAUUUCUGUUAACAUUGUAACACACCCAACAUACCUUUGCGCUUUCUCAUUUUAAUACUUGUGAAAUUCUUCCAAUAAAUUGUAUACUUUAAACCAUGGUUUGCUUGGUCAGUGAAAUCGAGUUUGGAUUCACUUUUGUGUUCUUAUAAAAUGUAUUUUCAUCUCUUACAUUUUAACUAAAGGCUUAGUCCUAUGAUAAAAAAAGUCACACUGUUUUCAUGAUAAAGAAUUUUUCAUUUUAUUUUUUAAUGCAUAAAAGCUAUUUUCUGUUGUAUUUUCACCUGCAUAACAUUUUAACAUUACAUCGUUAAAAUGUCACGGUUGUUAGGUGAAAUAAUUUCACAAAACAUAAAAUGUUUUUUUCUGAGCGUUGGAGUUUCCUCGUAAAUUGUGUUCUACAUAAGCGUAACAUUACUUCCUUCAUAUAUUUUAGUCUGUUUGAUUUAGAAUGCAAUAAAUGUGAGUGUUAAGUAAC